CCGAACAUCACCAAAGCUGAUUACAAAGAUCAACGACUUGUAACCAAAUAAAUAGUUCUUUCUUAUGUAACACCAUUUUCAUUAACUUGCAUGUGGACUAACACAUUGCAGUGACAAGCUGACAUUACACCCCACACCAUCAAAGGAAGUAAAUGAUUUAACUUGAUUGGAUAGACAACACACAAACUAUUUACAGUCUGAGAAAUUAGUCAAAAUUAUGCGAAUAUCAGCCACCAUCCCUAAGCUAAUGGAGGCGAUAAUGUAUUCAACCUGCCUCUGAAUAAUGGCUAGAAAUUUGGAAGCAUGGACAGUGUGCUCCAUAUGUG
Molecule: non-coding RNA, 326 nt
Organism: Pelobates cultripes (western spadefoot toad)
Lineage: Eukaryota; Metazoa; Chordata; Amphibia; Anura; Pelobatidae
Source: the annotation of a GenBank genome assembly